UAGUAAAAAACAAAACCUGGUCUGUC
This 26-nucleotide non-coding RNA is filed under the name Mus musculus (house mouse). Lineage: Eukaryota; Metazoa; Chordata; Mammalia; Rodentia; Muridae. The record is from RNAcentral.